GAUCUGUAGUCUUGGAGGCGCACUGGGUUGGCAGUACCCCGAGCACACCAGACUUGCAGAGAAAGCAUGCUCCAGAGGAAGCUGAGGCAUGGCUGCUCAAGGACCGGCAGUUCAUGUGCAAUUUCCCUCCGAUAGCACCUGGAUACUGUUGCCACGGUGAUGAUGGCUGUGCUGUGUCAUUAUCUAUCAGUCAACAGUAAGAGAAGCUUUGCAGUCGUGGUGUUGUUGAGCAGAUAGAGUGACUUUCUGUUGAAAACUUAACUACUGCUACAGAU
This 275-nucleotide small nucleolar RNA is filed under the name Procavia capensis (Cape rock hyrax). Lineage: Eukaryota; Metazoa; Chordata; Mammalia; Hyracoidea; Procaviidae. The record is from RNAcentral.